GCCGACGUGGUGAAAUUGGUAGACACGCCAUCUUGAGGGGGUGGUGACUUAGGUUAUGCUGGUUCGAGUCCAGUCGUCGGCACCA
Molecule: transfer RNA, 85 nt
Filed under: Methylococcaceae bacterium
Lineage: Bacteria; Pseudomonadati; Pseudomonadota; Gammaproteobacteria; Methylococcales; Methylococcaceae
Also listed under: 1 other name
Description: tRNA-Leu
Rfam family: tRNA
About the family: Transfer RNA (tRNA) molecules are approximately 80 nucleotides in length. Their secondary structure includes four short double-helical elements and three loops (D, anti-codon, and T loops).
Source: RNAcentral